Molecule: long non-coding RNA, 708 nt
Filed under: Linum usitatissimum (flax)
Lineage: Eukaryota; Viridiplantae; Streptophyta; Magnoliopsida; Malpighiales; Linaceae
Description: long non-coding RNA (LUSI_LNC006996)
Source: RNAcentral
CGAUGUCGCUGUCGCUUCUUCUCCCUUUUUUCUUUUUUUUUUCUCUUCCCCUCUCCUUCUUCUCCCUUUUUUCUUUUUUUUUCUCUUCCCCUCUCCUUCCCCUCCCUUCGUCCUUCUUUCUUUCCUUCUUCUUCCUCUCCUCUCCAGCGACGGCGGCCGUCGUCGCCUCUCCACUUUUUUUUUCUUUUUUUCUUCUCAUCCUUCCCUUCUCCUUUUUUUCCCUCUUUCCCUUUUUCUCCCCCCUCUCCCUCUUUUUUUCAGCGACGGCGCGGCUGCCGCCUUUCCUCUUUUUUUCUUCUUUUUUCGUUUCCUCAUUCAUCCCUUCCUCUCUGUUUUGACGACGUCCACCGCCAUGACAGGGCGCGAUGGCAGCGGUGCCGCCACCGCCUCUCCCUCAAUGGUGACAAAAAGAUAAACAAAAACGCAAAUUAAUUUCCCUAAUUUUUAUCUUCUCAAUUUUAGUCGGUUUUGGGCUUGCAUGUUGUUAGAGGAUGCCUCUAGCGAGUCCUCCAGCGACAUGCAAAUCUCGAUCUACAAAUUUAGGGUUUGAAUCUUGUUUUUAAAGUCCUUUUCUGAUUUGUUGAUUUGUUUUAUUUUUUUUCUUUUUUAUACGGGGCUAGAAAUCGGGGGUGAGGAACGGGGAGACGGUGACCUAACUUACCGGAUAAAAUCGACAAAAGUGUGAAUAAGUGUGGAGACAACCUUUAG